RNAcentral lists this ribosomal RNA (524 nucleotides) under uncultured bacterium. Its description in RNAcentral is "partial 16S ribosomal RNA". It matches the Rfam family "Bacterial small subunit ribosomal RNA", at positions 28 to 523 of the family's 1533-position model. The record is from RNAcentral.
GACGAACGCUGGCGGCGUGCCUAAUACAUGCAAGUCGAACGCUUCUUUUUCCACCGGAGCUUGCUCCACCGGAAAAAGAGGAGUGGCGAACGGGUGAGUAACACGUGGGUAACCUGCCCAUCAGAAGGGGAUAACACUUGGAAACAGGUGCUAAUACCGUAUAACAAUCGAAACCGCAUGGUUUUGAUUUGAAAGGCGCUUUCGGGUGUCGCUGAUGGAUGGACCCGCGGUGCAUUAGCUAGUUGGUGAGGUAACGGCUCACCAAGGCCACGAUGCAUAGCCGACCUGAGAGGGUGAUCGGCCACAUUGGGACGGAGAAACGGCCCAAACUCCUACGGGAGGCAGCAGUAGGGAAUCUUCGGCAAUGGACGAAAGUCUGACCGAGCAACGCCGCGUGAGUGAAGAAGGUUUUCGGAUCGUAAAACUCUGUUGUUAGAGAAGAACAAGGAUGAGAGUAACUGUUCAUCCCUUGACGGUAUCUAACCAGAAAGCCACGGCUAACUACGUGCCAGCCGCCGCCGUAA